Molecule: ribosomal RNA, 1393 nt
Filed under: uncultured bacterium
Lineage: Bacteria
Description: bacterial SSU rRNA
Rfam family: Bacterial small subunit ribosomal RNA
Source: RNAcentral
AGAGUUUGAUCCUGGCUCAGGAUGAACGCUAGCGACAGGCUUAACACAUGCAAGUCGAGGGGCAGCACAGGUAGCAAUACCGGGUGGCGACCGGCGCACGGGUGAGUAACGCGUAUGCAACUUGCCUAUCAGAGGGGGAUAACCCGGCGAAAGUCGGACUAAUACCGCAUGAAGCAGGGGCCCCGCAUGGGGAUAUUUGCUAAAGAUUCAUCGCUGAUAGAUAGGCAUGCGUUCCAUUAGGCAGUUGGCGGGGUAACGGCCCACCAAACCGACGAUGGAUAGGGGUUCUGAGAGGAAGGUCCCCCACAUUGGUACUGAGACACGGACCAAACUCCUACGGGAGGCAGCAGUGAGGAAUAUUGGUCAAUGGGCGCGAGCCUGAACCAGCCAAGUCGCGUGAGGGAUGAAGGUUCUAUGGAUCGUAAACCUCUUUUAUAAGGGAAUAAAGUGAGGGACGUGUCCCGUUUUGUAUGUACCUUAUGAAUAAGGAUCGGCUAACUCCGUGCCAGCAGCCGCGGUAAUACGGAGGAUCCGAGCGUUAUCCGGAUUUAUUGGGUUUAAAGGGUGCGUAGGCGGCCUUUUAAGUCAGCGGUGAAAGUCUGUGGCUCAACCAUAGAAUUGCCGUUGAAACUGGGGGGCUUGAGUAUGUUUGAGGCAGGCGGAAUUCGUGGUGUAGCGGUGAAAUGCAUAGAUAUCACGCAGAACCCCGAUUGCGAAGGCAGCCUGCCAAGCCAUUACUGACGCUGAUGCACGAAAGCGUGGGGAUCAAACAGGAUUAGAUACCCUGGUAGUCCACGCAGUAAACGAUGAUCACUAGCUGUUUGCGAUACACUGUAAGCGGCACAGCGAAAGCGUUAAGUGAUCCACCUGGGGAGUACGCCGGCAACGGUGAAACUCAAAGGAAUUGACGGGGGCCCGCACAAGCGGAGGAACAUGUGGUUUAAUUCGAUGAUACGCGAGGAACCUUACCCGGGCUUGAAUUGCAACUGAAUGAUGUGGAGACAUGUCAGCCGCAAGGCAGUUGUGAAGGUGCUGCAUGGUUGUCGUCAGCUCGUGCCGUGAGGUGUCGGCUUAAGUGCCAUAACGAGCGCAACCCUUAUCGAUAGUUACCAUCAGGUUAUGCUGGGGACUCUGUCGAGACUGCCGUCGUAAGAUGUGAGGAAGGUGGGGAUGACGUCAAAUCAGCACGGCCCUUACGUCCGGGGCUACACACGUGUUACAAUGGGGGGUACAGAAGGCAGCUACACGGCGACGUGAUGCUAAUCCCUAAAGCCUCUCUCAGUUCGGAUUGGAGUCUGCAACCCGACUCCAUGAAGCUGGAUUCGCUAGUAAUCGCGCAUCAGCCACGGCGCGGUGAAUACGUUCCCGGGCCUUGCACACACCGCCCGUCAAG